GACGAACGCUGGCGGCGUGCUUAACACAUGCAAGUCGAACGGAAAGGCCCUGCUUUUGUGGGGUGCUCGAGUGGCGAACGGGUGAGUAACACGUGAGUAACCUGCCCUUGACUUUGGGAUAACUUCAGGAAACUGGGGCUAAUACCGGAUAGGAGCUCCUGCUGCAUGGGGGGGGUUGGAAAGUUUCGGCGGUGGGGGAUGGACUCGCGGCUUAUCAGCUUGUUGGUGGGGUAGUGGCUUACCAAGGCUUUGACGGGUAGCCGGCCUGGGAGGGUGACCGGCCACAUUGGGACUGAGAUACGGCCCAGACUCCUACGGGAGGCAGAAGUGGGGAAUAUUGCACAAUGGGCGGAAGCCUGAUGCAGCAACGCCGCGUGCGGGAUGACGGCCUUCGGGUUGUAAACCGCUUUCGCCUGUGACGAAGCGUGAGUGACGGUAACGGGUAAAGAAGCACCGGCUAACUACGUG
RNAcentral lists this ribosomal RNA (468 nucleotides) under uncultured bacterium. RNAcentral's name for it is "partial 16S ribosomal RNA". It matches the Rfam family "Bacterial small subunit ribosomal RNA", at positions 28 to 507 of the family's 1533-position model. The record is from RNAcentral.